Molecule: ribosomal RNA, 1513 nt
Filed under: uncultured prokaryote
Description: partial 16S ribosomal RNA
Rfam family: Bacterial small subunit ribosomal RNA
Source: RNAcentral
AGAGUUUGAUCCUGGCUCAGAACGAACGCUGGCGACGUGCUUAACACAUGCAAGUCGAACGAGAAAGGAUUUCUUCGGAGAUCCGAGUAAAGUGGCGCACGGGUGAGUAACGCGUAGAUAAUCUACCCCGGUGUCCGGGAUAACACCGCGAAAGCGGUGCUAAUACCAGAUACGCUCCUUCGGGAGGAAAGAUGGCCUCUUCAUGAAAGCUACCGCAUUGGGAUGAGUUUGCGUACCAUUAGCUAGUUGGUGGGGUAAGAGCCUACCAAGGCGACGAUGGUUAGCGGGUCUGAGAGGAUGAUCCGCCACACUGGAACUGAAACACGGACCAGACUCCUACGGGAGGCAGCAGUGAGGAAUUUUGCGCAAUGGGGGAAACCCUGACGCAGCGACGCCGCGUGGGUGAUGAAGGCUUUCGGGUCGUAAAGCCCUGUCAAGUGGGAAGAAGUGUGCACAUGUUAAUACCAUGUGCAUUUGACGGUACCACUAAAGGAAGCACCGGCGAACUCCGUGCCAGCAGCCGCGGUAAUACGGAGGGUGCAAGCGUUGUUCGGAUUUACUGGGCGUAAAGGGCGCGUAGGCGGCGUAACAAGUCAGGUGUGAAAGUCCAGGGCUUAACCCUGGAAGUGCAUCUGAAACUGUUAUGCUUGAGUAUCGGAGAGGAAAGUGGAAUUCCCGGUGUAGAGGUGAAAUUCGUAGAUAUCGGGAGGAACACCUGAAGCGAAGGCGACUUUCUGGACGAAUACUGACGCUGAGGCGCGAAAGCGUGGGGAGCAAACAGGAUUAGAUACCCUGGUAGUCCACAGCUGUAAACGAUGUACACUAGAUGUUGGGGGAGUUGACCCCCUCAGUGUCGGAGCUAACGCAUUAAGUGUACCGCCUGGGGAGUACGGUCGCAAGAUUAAAACUCAAAGUAAUUGACGGGGGCCCGCACAAGCGGUGGAGUAUGUGGUUUAAUUCGAUGCAACGCGCAGAACCUUACCAAGACUUGACAUCCCGAGAACAUCUUGGAAACAAGAAAGUGUCUUCAUUAGAGGGAGCGCGGAGACAGGUGGUGCAUGGCUGUCGUCAGCUCGUGUCGUGAGAUGUUGGGUUAAGUCCCGCAACGAGCGCAACCCACGUCUUUAGUUGCCAUCAUUUAGUUGGGCACUCUAGAGAGACUGCCCCGGUCAACGGGGAGGAAGGUGUGGAUGACGUCAAGUCCUCAUGGCCUUUAUGAUCAGGGCUACACACGUACUACAAUGGCAGGGACAAAGGGCAGCGAACUAGCGAUAGUAAGCGAAUCCCAUAAAACCGAUCUCAGUCCGGAUCGGAGUCUGCAACUCGACUCCGUGAAGUUGGAAUCGCUAGUAAUCGUGGAUCAGCAUGCCACGGUGAAUACGUUCCCGGGCCUUGUACACACCGCCCGUCACACCACGGGAGUUGGUUGUACCAGAAGACGUUGAGCUAACCUUCGGGAAGCAGGCGUCCAAGGUAUGGCUGGUAACUGGGGUGAAGUCGUAACAAGGUAACC